This 724-nucleotide ribosomal RNA is filed under the name uncultured Pseudomonadota bacterium. RNAcentral describes it as "bacterial SSU rRNA". It matches the Rfam family "Bacterial small subunit ribosomal RNA", at positions 28 to 869 of the family's 1533-position model. Lineage: Bacteria; Pseudomonadati; Pseudomonadota. The record is from RNAcentral.
AACGAACGCUGGCGGCAGGCCUAACACAUGCAAGUCGAACGAGUGGCAGACGGGUGAGUAACACGUGGAAUCUUCCUAUGGUAUGGAAUAGCUCAGGGAAACUUGGGGUAAUACCGUAUAAGAUGAGCCCGCGUCUGAUUAGCUAGUUGGUGAGGUAAUGGCUCACCAAGGCGACGAUCAGUAGCUGGUCUGAGAGGAUGAUCAGCCACACUGGGACUGAGACACGGCCCAGACUCCUACGGGAGGCAGCAGUGGGGAAUAUUGGACAAUGGGCGCAAGCCUGAUGCAGCGACGCCGCGUGAGUGAAGAAGGCCUUCGGGUCGUAAAGCUCUUUUCUGCGUGAGGACGGUAGCGCAGGAAUAAGUGUCGGCUAACUACGUGCCAGCAGCCGCGGUAAAACGUAGGACGCAAGCGUUAUCCGGAGUUACUGGGCGUAAAGGGCGUGUAGGCGGCCUGGUAAGUCCGUCGUGAAAGCCCCCGGCUAAACUGGGGGAGGACGAGGGAGACUGCCGGGCAGAGGCAGGUAGAGGGGUAUAGAAUUCCGGGUGUAGUGGUGAAAUGCGUAGAGAUCCGGAGGAAUACCAGAGGCGAAGGCGAUGCCCUGGGCCUGUACUGACGCUGAGACGCGACAGCAUGGGGAGCGAACGGGAUUAGAAACCCCGGUAGUCCAUGCCGUAAACGAUGCCAACUAGGUGUUCGCGCCGAAGCUAACGCGCUAAGUGGC